This 367-nucleotide transfer-messenger RNA is filed under the name Patescibacteria group. RNAcentral describes it as "g GWC2-45-19 X1 Standard tmRNA". It matches the Rfam family "transfer-messenger RNA". Rfam says of the family: Bacterial tmRNA, also known as 10Sa RNA or SsrA, is named for its dual tRNA and mRNA-like properties. Its role is to liberate the mRNA from a stalled ribosome. To accomplish this part of the tmRNA is used as a reading frame that ends in a translation stop signal. The record is from RNAcentral.
GGGGGUGCUAGGCACUCGACGAUUUAGAACUUUAACAAGCUGCAAGCCGAGUUUGGACAAUACUCGUAAAACAGGUUCAAAACACAAGUGUCAACGAUUUCGUUGCACAAGUAAAAGGGGCAGUUGCAAAACUGAAUCCUUUUACUCCUCGCAAUUACGCAUUCGCGUAAUUCGGGCGUCUUAAUUUUGCUUCCUCGACUGCAUUAUUAAGGCGACAACCAAUCGAGGUGCCCCCGCAAGGCUGGCUAGCCAACUGCGGGGAAAGACUAAUUAACAAACAACUGUCGGCAGUUCCUUACCGAAUACGCUUGUAGAUGCUUUCAAAGUAAUAUUUCGGAUGUGGGUUCAAUUCCCACCACCUCCACAA